RNAcentral lists this ribosomal RNA (1442 nucleotides) under Clostridium botulinum A str. ATCC 3502. Its description in RNAcentral is "bacterial SSU rRNA". It matches the Rfam family "Bacterial small subunit ribosomal RNA". The record is from RNAcentral. Lineage: Bacteria; Bacillati; Bacillota; Clostridia; Eubacteriales; Clostridiaceae.
GCUGGCGGCGUGCUUAACACAUGCAAGUCGAGCGAUGAAGCUUCCUUCGGGGAGUGGAUUAGCGGCGGACGGGUGAGUAACACGUGGGUAACCUGCCUCAAAGUGGGGGAUAGCCUUCCGAAAGGAAGAUUAAUACCGCAUAAUAUAAGAGAAUCGCAUGAUUUUCUUAUCAAAGAUUUAUUGUUUUGAGAUGGACCCGCGGCGCAUUAGCUAGUUGGUAAGGUAACGGCUUACCAAGGCAACGAUGCGUAGCCGACCUGAGAGGGUGAUCGGCCACAUUGGAACUGAGACACGGUCCAGACUCCUACGGGAGGCAGCAGUGGGGAAUAUUGCGCAAUGGGGGAAACCCUGACGCAGCAACGCCGCGUGGGUGAUGAAGGUCUUCGGAUUGUAAAGCCCUGUUUUCUAGGACGAUAAUGACGGUACUAGAGGAGGAAGCCACGGCUAACUACGUGCCAGCAGCCGCGGUAAUACGUAGGUGGCGAGCGUUGUCCGGAUUUACUGGGCGUAAAGGGUGCGUAGGCGGAUGUUUAAGUGGGAUGUGAAAUCCCCGGGCUUAACCUGGGGGCUGCAUUCCAAACUGGAUAUCUAGAGUGCAGGAGAGGAAAGCGGAAUUCCUAGUGUAGCGGUGAAAUGCGUAGAGAUUAGGAAGAACACCAGUGGCGAAGGCGGCUUUCUGGACUGUAACUGACGCUGAGGCACGAAAGCGUGGGUAGCAAACAGGAUUAGAUACCCUGGUAGUCCACGCCGUAAACGAUGGAUACUAGGUGUAGGGGGUAUCAACUCCCCCUGUGCCGCAGUUAACACAAUAAGUAUCCCGCCUGGGGAGUACGGUCGCAAGAUUAAAACUCAAAGGAAUUGACGGGGGCCCGCACAAGCAGCGGAGCAUGUGGUUUAAUUCGAAGCAACGCGAAGAACCUUACCUGGACUUGACAUCCCUUGCAUAGCCUAGAGAUAGGUGAAGCCCUUCGGGGCAAGGAGACAGGUGGUGCAUGGUUGUCGUCAGCUCGUGUCGUGAGAUGUUAGGUUAAGUCCUGCAACGAGCGCAACCCUUGUUAUUAGUUGCUACCAUUAAGUUGAGCACUCUAAUGAGACUGCCUGGGUAACCAGGAGGAAGGUGGGGAUGACGUCAAAUCAUCAUGCCCCUUAUGUCCAGGGCUACACACGUGCUACAAUGGUAGGUACAAUAAGACGCAAGACCGUGAGGUGGAGCAAAACUUAUAAAACCUAUCUCAGUUCGGAUUGUAGGCUGCAACUCGCCUACAUGAAGCUGGAGUUGCUAGUAAUCGCGAAUCAGAAUGUCGCGGUGAAUACGUUCCCGGGCCUUGUACACACCGCCCGUCACACCAUGAGAGCUGGUAACACCCGAAGUCCGUGAGGUAACCGUAAGGAGCCAGCGGCCGAAGGUGGGAUUAGUGAUUGGGGUGAAGUCGUAACAAGGU